Molecule: ribosomal RNA, 421 nt
Filed under: uncultured bacterium
Lineage: Bacteria
Description: bacterial SSU rRNA
Rfam family: Bacterial small subunit ribosomal RNA
Source: RNAcentral
UAUUGCACAAUGGGCGCAAGCCUGAUGCAGCCAUGCCGCGUGUAUGAAGAAGGCCUUCGGGUUUUAAAGUACUUUCAGCGGGGAGGAAUGGAGUAACGUUAAUACCUUUGCUCAUUGACGUUACUCGCAGAAGAAGCACUGCCUAACUCUGUGCCAUCAGCCGCGGUAAUACGGAGGGUGCAAGCGUUAAUCGGAAUUACUGGGCGUAAAGCGCACGCAGGCGGUUUGUUAAGUCAGAUGUGAAAUCCCCGGGCUCAACCUGGGAACUGCAUCUGAUACUGGCAAGCUUGAGUCUCGUAGAGGGGGGUAGAAUUCCAGGUGUAGCGGUGAAAUGCGUAGAGAUCUGGAGGAAUACCGGUGGCGAAGGCGGCCCCCUGGACGAAGACUGACGCUCAGGUGCGAAAGCGUGGGGAGCAAACAG